Molecule: long non-coding RNA, 318 nt
Organism: Vidua chalybeata
Lineage: Eukaryota; Metazoa; Chordata; Aves; Passeriformes; Viduidae
Exons: 2
Source: RefSeq, a predicted model, not a curated record
GUCAAGGUGUCCAUCAGAGCUAUGGUUGUCUGUGUGAUGAUGUCUAACAGUGGGAUGCCACUGCUGCCCUUGCAGCCUAGAAAGAGCCACUCCUGAGCAGAUAACAGUGCUGUCAUUAAGUUGUUUGGUACAUGCAAGAUAUGGAUACAAGUUUCUGCCUGAUUUCUAUACAAGUGCUUGUCUGGAGUUUUCUACAUCUCACACAAGACCCCAACUCCUUAAGUUGCUGGCCACUUCGACCCUGUCUAUGUCUCACCUUUUCACCAGAAAUUUAAAUCCAGGGCCUGCAAAACUGAAGAUCAAUGCAUAUAAACCCCA